CUUGACCGAGCCCAGCCACAACGGCGUCUCACGGCCCUGGCCGUAGGUGGCCAGCAACGCCUGCGCUUC
This 69-nucleotide antisense RNA is filed under the name Amycolatopsis tolypomycina. RNAcentral's name for it is "ASpks TB sRNA". It matches the Rfam family "ASpks TB sRNA". The record is from RNAcentral. Lineage: Bacteria; Bacillati; Actinomycetota; Actinomycetes; Pseudonocardiales; Pseudonocardiaceae.